GCGAGGAGGUUGGGGCUCAGGCGUGCUGCCUGGGAGGAUGCGCUCUGCCUCUUCCUCGCAAAGCAAAAGGAACAUGUGCAGUGCGGAGGACGGCUGCUGGGCAACGAUACCUGCACCUGGUGCUCUACCCAGCAUGGACCGUCAAGUUGCUGGGAUUGGUGGUGGGUGUGUCUCCAUCUGCUAAUACAUUGGUCAUACCUUGGUAUAUAUGCUUGGCACUAUUUGGAGUCAAAAUUACGAACGUCCACUGCCGAUCUAUUUGGUAUUUUGGUGCAUGUCUUCCCCCGGCCCAGCCAUACUAUUUAUCUGUGACGUGUGCGCUAGCACUGCUGACAACACCCCUUUGGAUCCGUGGCAACUGGCAUCCUUGCAAACCUCCUGAAUAUUUCAAGCCCGUGAGGAAAGCAUCUUGGUGGUGGCUACAACGAUUUCCCCAUCAUGUCAUCCCUCUCUCUAUGUGCUUCUCUCCAUGGACAGCAUCGCCAUGGCCAGAUCGAUCAUUAAAGCCCUAGUAUUUUCCCUUGAUUAAGUUCAGAAGAUGCCAUACGGCGGCAGUAGUUUGCCAAAUUACCUGAUGGAUCGAUUCAUGAUUAAAACCAUGAAAAAGCGCAGUGUAGUCAGCACACAAUGGUGCCAUCAUCAAGUACUGUUGGUAUUUUUUUUUUGAAAAAUCAUGUUCCUGCUGUCCUAUGCCUCCCUUCUUAAUUUGUUCCUUACUGGGAGUUUCAGCUACGAAUGAAGCACAACAAAGACGACGAUAAUAUGUGUGAGCAUCUCUAGAAUUUUUUGUGUACCAAGUUAUUGAAAAAUUGUCAUUCUUUAAACCUUGCUGUCGCCUCUUCCUCUGUCCCUGAUCUACCUGUCUUGUGCUGUUUUGGCUUUGCAGCGUUCCUGGCAAGUACAUAGGUCUGGAUUUGGUGGCUUCGGCUCACACAUAUGGAGCAGGAUGGGGUGACAAAGUAGGGUGGGGUGAAGAUUCCUGUCCGGCGACUUUCGCGUGUUGUGGCUAGCAGCGCUCCACUUCUUUCUCCCCCUGGUUUGUAAUUUCAGAUUGCCGACUACCUUUCAUUGGUGUAUAUGCAAGCUACCGAGCCUGCACUUUUGUAGACUAUUCUUGACUAGAAUAUGUAUAUGAAUGUGAGCAACAGAGUUCUUUACUCCUAGAAAAUGCACGCGCCAAUGAAAUUCAGGGGCUCAUUGGUCGCUUGGCCUGCUUUUGGUAUAUCAAUGAGGAUAUCCCUGACAUAAAUUCGUUUAGUGACAGUCUUGGAGAGAAAUUUACUAUUGUCGAUGCAUACACUCAUCCGGGGUAGAAUCUGAUCUCGAGUAAGCAUUGUGCUCCACCAGAAGAAAAAACUAUGGAGCAUCUGGAUGUCUUAAUCCUAACAUUCAGUAGGUUGUUGAGUGUUUGCUUGCUUAUUUCUUUAUUUUGCAUUGCUAUUGACGUGUGUCCAUAGGCGCUGAUUGUUUCUCGAUUUCACAUUUCAUAGGGAGUGCACUUUGUUUGAUGCCUUGAAAGAGCAGUAUAUUGGGCAUCAUGAGAUAGUCAUCCAGAGUUUGGUCAGAUUUGAACUGAUUUGGCUUACAAUUUGUAAUUUUGCAAUCAGCUUUCCUACAAGACCUUCUGGAUGGUUGGCUUGGUUGUCCGGAUCAGCUUUAUAUGGGGAAACCAUAUUCCAACAGUAAAAUUGAUAAAAUUGAAGUAGCAAGGUAUUUCUUUGCUUAUUUGGUUGCUUCUCUUUCUACAACUUUCUUACUGAAGGAACAGAACAGAAGGCCUUACUGUUACGGCAAUGGUAUUUGAUUAAGUAUAUCACCAUCAUCAUCAUCAUGCUGCUAAAUUCAUAGUCUUGAACUUUGAUUGUUUGUUAUACGGUAUAGAAUAGUGAAGUCAAACAGUUAAUUCAGCACUGCUCCUCCACGUUAGAAUUAACCAUUGGGGCUUUUGAUAGAGGUGAUUUUGUUUAGAUAAUUAGUCUAGGGAGUAACCUUUUGAUCGAUAAGGCACAUGUUUAUUUGCUUUUUCAUUCAGGGAUACACUAAAGUAACCAUCACCAUCAGCUAAAAGUAGGCAUACAAAACAUGAAAAUUUUGCCUUGGAUGUAUGCCUCACUUAGUUGUCGCUCAUUUAUUUCAAGGAAGUUAUUCGUCGAGCUUUCUUAUGCUUCCAGUUUCUAA
This is a long non-coding RNA of Triticum aestivum (bread wheat), 2178 nucleotides long. RefSeq lists it as uncharacterized. The transcript has 10 exons. The record is from RefSeq and is a predicted model, not a curated record. Lineage: Eukaryota; Viridiplantae; Streptophyta; Magnoliopsida; Poales; Poaceae.